CACACCGCCCGUCACACCAUGGGAGUUGGCUUUACCGAAGGCGGUGCGCUAACCAGCAAUGGAGGCGAGCCGACCACGGUAGGGUCAGCGACUGGGGUG
Molecule: ribosomal RNA, 99 nt
Filed under: uncultured bacterium
Lineage: Bacteria
Description: partial 16S ribosomal RNA
Rfam family: Bacterial small subunit ribosomal RNA
Source: RNAcentral